This 696-nucleotide long non-coding RNA is filed under the name Callithrix jacchus (white-tufted-ear marmoset). Its description in RNAcentral is "lncRNA (ENSCJAG00000082342.1)". The record is from RNAcentral. Lineage: Eukaryota; Metazoa; Chordata; Mammalia; Primates; Cebidae.
AGCAUGAAGCUUUUUCAUUAUCUCUACAAGGUGAUUGAAUUUCUUCUACCUGAACAGCAAGAUUCUCCUUUGAAUUGCUGCAGCAGAGACUGGCACUCUCUGUAGGUCAGAAGUGCAGUACAGGUUUCACCAAGAUAAAAUUCAGUUGCCUAAGGCUGCAUUUCCUGAUGGAAGCUGUAGGGGAGAAUCUGUUUCCUGCUUAUCAGGUGGGUGGCAUAAUUGAGUUCCUUGAAGCUUCAGGACUGAGAUUCACCCCUUUCAAGUGUAUAGUCCACUGAGGACUGUUCCCAGUUCUGGAGGUCACUUUAUUCUUUGGCUCAUGAUUUCCUUGCCCUGUUUUCAAAGCCAGCAAUAAAGCAGGAGUCCUUCUCAAGUUGUAUGUCUCUCUGACAGAUGGGGAAGAUUCUCUGCUUUCAAAAUUUCAGGUAACUAUACUGGGCCCACCCUGAUGAUCCAGGAUUAUCUAAUCUGAAGGCCCUUGAAUUUACACACAUAUGCAAAGGUAACAUAUUCACAGGUUCUAAAAAUCAGGGCACAGACAUGUUUGAGGGUCAUUAUUCUGUCUAGCGAAAGAGGAGAUAAGGUGAAUAGCUCAAGAUGAAAUACUUUCACUUGUCUAAUGGUUCUAGUCAGGUUGCUCCUUUUAAAUCAAGACACCUUUAAUGACUCACUAUUACCUAAAGAAUUAAAUUAAAA